CAUAUCGGUAUCGGCAGAUAGUCAAAUUUAUGAUAUCGGUAUCAGACAUAAAAAAGUGGUAUCGUGCCAUCUCUAAUAACAUUCAUGAACAUCUGGGAGCAGCACAAACAUCAGUGGAAAAACAACGGAAUAUUUGGAAUGUGAGGUGUUAUUUAGGAACAUCAUAUAAUGGGACAGCAUUAAGGGAAGUGUUUGAAUAUGUUGUAAGAAAAUGAACGUGUAAAGCAAUUUUUAGAAAUGUUUUUAAAAUAGAGUAAUUAGAAUAAUUAAUGAACAAUGAGCCAUUUCCAAAAACCAAAGACCACAAUUCAACGUGGAGGACGUACAGAGGACAUGUUGUCUGUAAGACAUGUGGGGGACAUUUGGCAGAUGUUUAAGAAAACCUGCUUACAUUUUAUUUUGAAAGUGUUGCUCGUAUGUUAAAAUGGGAUUGUGGACCAAUGUUUGGGACUUACUGGUUUUUUCUGAAGUGAAGACCUUUUUGUUGUGUGAGUACGUUUCAUUUUUGGAGCUAUUAUUCAGUCUUCAGUCUUACUAUUCACAGUGUAGCUGCACUGUAAGUUUAGCUUCCUGUUUUAUCUGCUUUAUUCAAUUUUAGCUCAUCAGAAGAGGAAAAAACAGACGAAGAAGAUCACGUAUUUGUAAAUUAGAUUCAAUGAUGCCUUUUUAAUCAAUGAAUAAAGAAGUUAUUGAAAUCUGCUUUAAAACUUUACGUCCAGCCCUCCUUCCUCACAGGCGAGCUCUGUAAUGAAGCCAGAAUUAGUUCAAGCUUAUGAAAAUGAGCGUCUUCACAAGUGCAGACGUACAAAUGUGUGUUUGUGUGUGGACUAAUAGGAGGAAAUUGCUAAUCUAAUCAGACCGCAAUCCAAUUGAAAUCAACUGUAUCUCACCUCUGUGAACGUUCAAGCGAGAAAACGAGUCAGUUAAAUGACGGCUGCCUCCGAAACACACCGCGCUAAUUAAAUGAGAAAAAACGUCCAUUUAAAAAAGGAAAAAGAAAAAAAACCCACCUCAGCAAAAAGAGCAGCACAGAAAGUGCGAGCAGGAAAAGUGACCUCCGGCGUGCCAGCAGUGAUGAGGGUUUGCCCUUGACUUGGCUGAACGAUGGCCACUGACACACACACACACACACACACACACACAGGCUUUCAGACUGAUGAGCUAGCUAUCAUUAGUAUCAAGCCUUCAGCCAGGACAGUAUCUUCAGAGCUACAGCUGACUGCAGUUUAUUCGGUGAAGUUAAACUCUCCGAGGCUUCGUUAACCUGCGCAGACUGUUGGUGGCAACAGGCCCCAUGCAGCGCUGCAGCUCCACCCAAUGUGUCACUACCUGCAGAUUAGCGGGAGACACAAAGCAGGGCUACAACAGAUCCACAGUGAGACUGAGCCGUGAGUCCACAGAGCACCAGACACUACAAGAAAGUGUUAAAGAAAGGGCUGCUGUUCAAACAUCUGUGUACCGUGAGGCUGAAACAUGGAGCAGGAAAAGGAAUAGAAGUCUGCAGUUCCUUCAUCGUCCAGCAGAGGCGCCAGUCAUGUUUACAGCCCGACACAAAAACUGCUCUAUAGAUGACACCUGUACAGCGCAGAAUGUGUUAUGACUCACCUGUGUAAAUGAUAUUAAGGUUUAGAGUUUGCAUGAUUAGGGGCGUGGCUGUCUGCGAGGCCUUGUUUUAUUAUUUCAAUUUAAAGCUUUUAAAAUAAUUAUUCAAAUAGAUAGAAACUAGUGUAUGUUUGUCUGUGGAGCCACUUGUGUUGUAAAUGUGAUUUAUGUGAUCUGAAAACAUCCUAAAAAUCAAAAGGCCGUGAUGCUGUCGUUAGGAAAAAUGAUCUAAUGAUCAGGACAUCCUGUUUAAAAGGCUCACACACAUUUAAACAGCAGCUCUUUCUUUAUCAAUCAUUUGUUUUAAAAGAAGUUCUGUUGAACUUUAUUUUGAAAGUGCCAGACAUCUGCCAUCAACGUGCCCUUGAGCAAGUCCCUGCUGCAUGUAUGUGUGUGUGUGCAUGUAUGCGUGUGUGUGUUCGCUGGGUAAAUAAAGUCAAACAAACACAGACCACCCACCUGGUGCUGCCAGGAGGACAAAACAAACCACAGCGAGUGUCUGACUGAGCACGCACACACCUGAGGUUAGCAACACCAGCUACAGAGUGAACCAUGUGACUGACCAGCAGCUGCACACGUGGGUGAUAAGGUAACGUCACGUUCAAGGACAACAAUUUAAAUCAAAAAUGAGAGAACCUGAGUGUGUCUGUGUUACUGAAGGGACACACACAGACGCUCACACAGUGACACUGUGGGGACCGCUCCCUCUGUGGACACCACGUCCCCGUGAGGUCCAUCAUUACAUUUGAUCAUGAAACCUGCUUUAAAGGUGAGUCUGCAGGAGAGGCGAUGGAAACUAGACUGUGUGUGGCUGCAGUGCCCCCCCAGCCCCCCCCCCACCUGCUACAAUCAAUGAAACUGAAAUAGGAUAUGCAAACACACACACACACACACACACACACUGUCCUUCUGUCUCUGCAUUUGCUCAGAAAUAUCGUUGAAAUAUUUUAUUAUUUCAUUUGAUUUAAAAUCUUUCUCUCCUGCAGCAUCAAAACCUGAAGGCCGCCUCGACGUCCAGCCAACGGGGACCUGCAGCAUCGCCAAAAAUGAUGGCAGCAUGGAAAUGCUGCUACUGCAGGCUGAAGCAGCGUAACAUGACAAAGCGUUUUGCAGGAGCAGAUGGAGAAAUGAUGCAGCACUUUCUUUGCUGGACUGAUUUUCUUGCAGAGUUUUCAGGAAGGUGCUUGUAUGAAACUGUUGGUUGUGAGGUUUUCAGCUCCGUCCCUGAAGAUGUUCAGUCUAAAACUGAGCUGAGGAGAGACUACUCGUACAUUUUAUCCAUUUUCUGCCACUUAUCUGGGUCUCGGGGCCAGUGAUGCCUAGACCCCCCCCCAUCUCUUCUGGAGGAGGUGGCUGGAUGUUCCCAUGCUAGCUGUGAGACAUAAUCUCCUCCCAUGUGUCCUGGGCCUCCUCAUGGUUGGACACCCUGACACCGACUCCGAGGAAACUCCUUUCUGCUGCUUCUGACCUCAGUUGUUCACUCACAGCUCACGGUUACAGCAGACCAACGCAGCAUCCUCAUCACUGCUGAUGCUGCACCAUUACAACUGAAACACUGGUUCCACUCUUUCCCAA
Molecule: long non-coding RNA, 3177 nt
Organism: Oreochromis niloticus (Nile tilapia)
Lineage: Eukaryota; Metazoa; Chordata; Actinopteri; Cichliformes; Cichlidae
Exons: 2
Source: RefSeq, a predicted model, not a curated record